This 72-nucleotide transfer RNA is filed under the name Caerostris darwini. RNAcentral's name for it is "tRNA-iMet". It matches the Rfam family "tRNA". Rfam says of the family: Transfer RNA (tRNA) molecules are approximately 80 nucleotides in length. The record is from RNAcentral. Lineage: Eukaryota; Metazoa; Arthropoda; Arachnida; Araneae; Araneidae.
AGCAGAGUGACGCAGUGAAAGCGUGCUGGGCCCAUAACCCAGAGGUCCGCAGAUCGAAACCAUGCUCUGCUA